GUGUGUGUGUGUGUGUGUGUAUUUAGCAGUCUGUGUGUGUAUUCAGCAGACUGUGUACUCAGCAGUCUGUGUGUGUAUUUAGCAGUCUGCUAAAUACAGACAGACUGCUAAGUACACAGACAGACUG
Molecule: microRNA precursor, 127 nt
Filed under: Pelobates cultripes (western spadefoot toad)
Lineage: Eukaryota; Metazoa; Chordata; Amphibia; Anura; Pelobatidae
Source: RNAcentral